RNAcentral lists this ribosomal RNA (305 nucleotides) under uncultured bacterium. RNAcentral's name for it is "bacterial SSU rRNA". It matches the Rfam family "Bacterial small subunit ribosomal RNA", at positions 335 to 640 of the family's 1533-position model. The record is from RNAcentral.
UGCCUACGGGGGGCAGCAGUGAGGAAUAUUGGUCAAUGGGCGGGAGCCUGAACCAGCCAUGCCGCGUGAAGGCGAGUGCCCUACGGGCGUUAAACUUCUUUUGUGCGGGAGCAAUAAGGGCCACGUGUGGCCCGAUGAGAGUACCGCACGAAUAAGCAUCGGCUAACUCCGUGCCAGCAGCCGCGGUAAUACGGAGGAUGCGAGCGUUAUCCGGCUUUAUUGGGUUUAAAGGGUGCGCAGGCGGAGGUGCAAGUCAGCGGUCAAAUUGCGGGGCUCAACCCCGUACUGCCGUUGAAACUGCAUCC